This 74-nucleotide transfer RNA is filed under the name Lachnospiraceae bacterium. RNAcentral's name for it is "tRNA-Arg". It matches the Rfam family "tRNA". Rfam says of the family: Transfer RNA (tRNA) molecules are approximately 80 nucleotides in length. Their secondary structure includes four short double-helical elements and three loops (D, anti-codon, and T loops). The record is from RNAcentral. Lineage: Bacteria; Bacillati; Bacillota; Clostridia; Lachnospirales; Lachnospiraceae.
GUCCGCGUAGCUCAGUUGGAUAGAGCGACCGCCUCCUAAGUGGUAGGUCGGAGGUUCGAAUCCUCUCGUGGACG